AUGCCACGAAGGGCCAUGCCCCAGCAGCACCAGAUUCUUCUCUGUGCCACGUGCCAUGGGAGGGAACGACCUCACGGGUCAGCCGACUCCGCAGCGUGUGCCAGACGGGGGCACGGGCGUCGGGCAGGCCACAGGGGCAUCCCCGGGAGCAGGCCCAAGGGCUGGGCGGGCUGUCCUCCCCCCGGGGCGAGGGGGCAGGACGGUGCCCGGGGCUCGCUGUCCGCGGGCAGGUGCAAGAGCGACCCCCUGCAUGCGGAGCACGGGGCUGCGGCCGGGGCCACAGGACCUGUGACAGCCGAGGACAGAGUACGCACCCGGCGGCCGGACAAGGGCCCAUCAGCGGCCGGGGCGGCCAGCGGGGACUCCUGGGGAGGUGACACAGGAGCCAGGGGGAGCCAGGGCAGGGCCCCGAGGAGGAGCCACCCGCGUGAAGGGAGCCCGCGGGGUGAGGCAGAGGGCGGGCGGCAGCACCGAGGCCACGACCCUCGGUUGGCCUUUGGCUGUCCUGGUGCCCGUCCCCUCGUCUGGUCGUCGCUCCGGGCGUCUCGCCUGCCGCCAGGGACCGCACCAGGGACCGCGCCGGCCCCAGGACCUCGGCCACGAGGCAGUGAGCAGCCCCGGGCGGGGGCGCCUGGGAGGGAGCAGUUGCGGUCUCCGGGCUGGGCACGGGCCCGCCCCCCGCAGGACGCCCGGAGCUCGCGGCCACCUUGCCGAGGACGGGACGGGGGAAGAGGAAGCCACCGGGGGGUCACUGGCCGGGGGCUCCGCUCCUGCGGGGAGAUGCCGCCCGCGGGGGCGCGGACACCGGUGGCUCUGGUCGCCCCUGCCCAUCACGGCCACCGCGUCUCCGGGACGCCGGCCCCUGGAAGCCACCUGCUCCGCCACCGGACCCGGGGCCAUCCUUCCCGGCCGACAAGGGUGUCUGGUUCCGGGCCCAUAACGGAGAGGACCUGGUCCCGGGGUCGUGUUCCCAAGGGGGGAGCUCGGCGGCGCAGAUGUCCCCGUUCCCUCCGAGCUGCUGCUCCUGGGCUCAGGCCCCGAGGCGGUGGACAGGGCGUGGCGGGUCCCCAGCGGCCCGACAGGGAGGUGGGCCAGGUGCGCGCAGGGGGCGAGUUUGCUCUCCUGCCGAGACCCUGA
This 1137-nucleotide long non-coding RNA is filed under the name Canis lupus familiaris (dog). RNAcentral's name for it is "lncRNA (ENSCAFG00000051690.1)". The record is from RNAcentral. Lineage: Eukaryota; Metazoa; Chordata; Mammalia; Carnivora; Canidae.